CCUACGGGGGGCAGCAGUGGGGAAUUUUGCGCAAUGCUCGUAAGAGUGACGCAGCGACGCCGCGUGAAUGACGAAGGCCUUCGGGUCGUAAAGUUCUAUCAGCAGGGAAGAAAAUGACGGUACCUGACUAAGAAGCCCCGGCUAACUACGUGCCAGCAGCCGCGGUAAUACGUAGGGGGCAAGCGUUAUCCGGAUUUACUGGGUGUAAAGGGAGCGUAGACGGCAGCGCAAGUCUGGAGUGAAAUCCCAUGGCUUAACCAUGGAACUGCUUUGGAAACUGUGCAGCUAGAGUGCAGGAGAGGUAAGCGGAAUUCCUAGUGUAGCGGUGAAAUGCGUAGAUAUUAGGAGGAACACCAGUGGCGAAGGCGGCUUACUGGACUGUAACUGACGUUGAGGCUCGAAAGCGUGGGGAGCAAACAGGAUUAGAUACCCUAGUAGUC
Molecule: ribosomal RNA, 440 nt
Filed under: uncultured bacterium
Lineage: Bacteria
Description: partial 16S ribosomal RNA
Rfam family: Bacterial small subunit ribosomal RNA
Source: RNAcentral